This 516-nucleotide ribosomal RNA is filed under the name uncultured cyanobacterium. RNAcentral's name for it is "bacterial SSU rRNA". It matches the Rfam family "Bacterial small subunit ribosomal RNA", at positions 370 to 896 of the family's 1533-position model. The record is from RNAcentral. Lineage: Bacteria; Bacillati; Cyanobacteriota.
AAUGGGCGAAAGCCUGACAGAGCAAUACCGCGUGGGGGAUGAAGACUUACUGAGUUGUAAACCUCGGUGCCCUAAAGGAAGAAGAUCUGACGGUACUUAGGGUGGAAAGCAUCGGCUAACUCCGUGCCAGCAGCCGCGGUAAGACGGGGGAUGCAAGUGUUAUCCGGAAUUACUGGGCGUAAAGCGUCUGCAGGUGGUUUUCUAAGUCUGCUGUUAAACCUUGAGGCUUAACCUCAAAUCGGCAGUGGAAACUGGGAGACUUGAGUAUAGUAGGGGUAGAGGGAAUUUCCAGUGGAGCGGUGAAAUGCGUAGAUAUUGGAAAGAACACCGAUGGCGAAGGCACUCUACUAGGCUAUUACUGACACUCAGAGACGAAAGCUAGGGGAGCAAAUGGGAUUAGAUACCCCAGUAGUCCUAGCCGUAAACGAUGGAUACUCGAUGUUGGACGUAUCGACCCGUUCAGUGUCUUAGCUAACGCGUUAAGUAUCCCGCCUGGGGAGUACGCUCGCAAGAGUG